Long non-coding RNA from Numida meleagris (helmeted guineafowl), 1450 nucleotides. RefSeq lists it as uncharacterized. The record is from RefSeq and is a predicted model, not a curated record. The transcript has 2 exons. Lineage: Eukaryota; Metazoa; Chordata; Aves; Galliformes; Numididae.
UUCCUGUCUGAGUUUCACUGGCACAGGAUUAAAUUGCCUCUUCCACGUAAGUGUACUCGCAGCAAACCACAGGCCUGUGUGCUUUGUCACUACUAUUGCACUUACCAGCCUGCAAGUCUGAGUGAAGACUGUAAUCUGGGACUAGGUAUCAACAGGAGUCCCAGGUAGGCAAAGAAUGCAAGAUGGACACAAUUUGCAGUUUGUAAGCCACAGACGCUGUUUUUUUUCCUCUCAUCCGGGCUUCAACAUACCCUGGCAACAUCAUGUAAAAGAUGGCUGAUCAAAGACUUCAGUGAGCGUCUAUUUCUGAUUACCCCAACCACAAACAGAUGGAGACCAUCAGCUCAUUCACUCCGUGUCAUGUACCUCACCGCAGUCACACUGAGGAGAGCCACCGGGGCAAGUUUUGAUAACCAAGUGCUCACUGCAUUUUCCUGUUUUCUGUAUGGACGGGCCUGCUUGCAUCUGUUGCACUGCCAUGGAGCGAUCCCUGAAGCCCCAUAGCAUGGAGCAAACACAGCCGCUGCUACGACUUGCAGUGCUCACAGAGCAGCUGACAACCUGCAUGAAAUCCCUGCUUUCUGCAACUGACAGUGAAACUCUUAAAGAACAUAUGCAACGGCAGAAUGGUGUGAACAGCCUUGAAAAGAGGAUCAAGCAUCUGUGGGGUAUUGCUGCUCCAAACACAAUCAGAAAGAUGAGCUGACCUCACUGUCCUGUGGUGCAGUCAGAGUGGUAUUCUCAGGGAGCACAUCCCCAUCUGCUGGGGAAGGGGCAUCCCCACCAGCUUCUGCUGGGACAGCACUGCAAGGCGUGGUUUCCUCCCUUUGCACUUCAACCCUACAGAUGCAGUUACACCUGUCAGAUUUGUUCAUUUGAUGCAUUCUUCUCGACACUGCUUUCAGACCAUUUAUAAUUUGCUAUUUACCUCUAAAUGACUAAUUUCCCAGUUUAAAAUAGAGCUUUAUGGAGCAGAAGAUGUUAAAUACAUGGUAAGCCUUCUGUGUCUUUCACCAGUGAAAAAGUAUAAUCACAAAGGUUUGUAAAGAGGCUGUCAGAGCUUACUAUUCACUGAUGGUUAGUCAUGCUUCGUACUGUUAUUCGAUAUUUGGAAUGAGACUUGGUUCAUUUGCAAACAUUCUUAACGUGCUGCAUAAUGUCAGAGAUUACUGGUUUCCUGCAAAUGAAUUUUUCUCUCUCUGUUUAAAAGCGUUUAAUAGAAAAACAUUGUGAGUAUCUCAAUUUAGAGCUGUUUCUCUGGUUCGAAGGGCCGAGUGUUGAUCAAAUCCCACCAUCUACUGGGACUCCGCGGAACUACAGCGCUGCUUUAGAGCGUGCUCUGAAGAAUGCUGGAUGCCCCACUUGCUCUGCAGCUCACCAGACAGCUACUGCCAAGUGCUAUUUAGACACUGCAGUUAUUGGACUAGUAAAGUUUUGAUCUGACCUGGAA